UAAGGAAUAUUGGUCAAUGGAGGCAACUCUGAACCAGCCAUGCCGCGUGAAGGAUUAAGGCCCUCUGGGUUGUAAACUUCUUUUAUAUGGGAAGAAAUGUUCUGAUUCUUCAGAGCUUGACGGUACCAUAGGAAUAAGCACCGGCUAACUCCGUGCCAGCAGCCGCGGUAAUACGGAGGGUGCAAGCGUUAUCCGGAUUCACUGGGUUUAAAGGGUGCGUAGGUGGGCAGAUAAGUCAGUGGUGAAAUCUUCCGGCUUAACCGGAAAAUUGCCGUUGAUACUAUUUGUCUUGAAUAUUGUGGAGNUAAGCGGAAUAUGUCAUGUAGCGGUGAAAUGCCUAGAUAUGACAUAGAACACCAAUUGCGAAGGCAGCUUACUACACAAUCAUUGACGCUGAGGCACGAAAGCGUGGGGAUCAAACA
This 422-nucleotide ribosomal RNA is filed under the name uncultured bacterium. Its description in RNAcentral is "bacterial SSU rRNA". It matches the Rfam family "Bacterial small subunit ribosomal RNA", at positions 355 to 774 of the family's 1533-position model. The record is from RNAcentral.